GAUGAACGCUGGCGGCGUGCCCAAUACAUGCAAGUCGAGCGAACAGACGAGGAGCUUGCUCCUCUGACGUUAGCGGCGGACGGGUGAGUAACACGUGGAUAACCUACCUAUAAGACUGGGAUAACUUCGGGAAACCGGAGCUAAUACCGGAUAAUAUAUUGAACCGCAUGGUUCAAUAGUGAAAGACGGUUUUGCUGUCACUUAUAGAUGGAUCCGCGCCGCAUUAGCUAGUUGGUAAGGUAACGGCUUACCAAGGCAACGAUGCGUAGCCGACCUGAGAGGGUGAUCGGCCACACUGGAACUGAGACACGGUCCAGACUCCUACGGGAGGCAGCAGUAGGGAAUCUUCCGCAAUGGGCGAAAGCCUGACGGAGCAACGCCGCGUGAGUGAUGAAGGUCUUCGGAUCGUAAAACUCUGUUAUUAGGGAAGAACAAAUGUGUAAGUAACGAUGCACGUCUUGACGGUACCUAAUCAGAAAGCCACGGCUAACUACGU
Molecule: ribosomal RNA, 496 nt
Filed under: uncultured bacterium
Lineage: Bacteria
Description: partial 16S ribosomal RNA
Rfam family: Bacterial small subunit ribosomal RNA
Source: RNAcentral